AGGCACAGAGUGGCUCCUUAAGUAACUUUAAAGGAGUCGCAGAAGCGAGACUCAGGAUUGGCUUGGGUGACGGUUUGUCAGGCUGCGUGGACCAAAGUCUGCGGAUGGGACUCCGGGAGUCGACCUCUGGGGGGAGGACCCAGUGUUCCUGUCAGUGGCUGGUAGCCUUUCCCAGGGACGCUGUGGGAUGCAGGGGAAGCCAGUGCUUUUCGUGAAUAUGCGUCUGUUCUGUCUCCUGUCAGGAAUGAACUCUCGAUGUGAUUCCCAUCUUGGAAGCAAAAACGUUGUUAUCCCUAUGAGGACGUUGAAAUAUGUCAAAGCAACGUUCAUUGCGUUGUUUGCUCCAUGGAGGGUCUGUUUGAUUUUUAGUAUGGAGACCCAAAACAAUUAGGAAGAUGAGAAGUUGCUAACUUUUUUUUUUUAAAUAAAGAUUUAUUUAUUUAUUUGAAAGAGUUUCACAGAGAGAGGAGAGGCAGAGAGAGAGAGAGAGAGAGGUCUUGCAUCUGAUGCUUCACUCCCCAGUUGGCCACAACAGCCGGAGCUGCAUUGAUGCGAAGCCAGGAGCUUCUUCCGGGUCUCCCACGUGGGUGCAGGGAUCCAAGCACUUGGGCCAUCUUCUACUGCUUUCCCAGGACACAGCAGAGAGCUGGAUCAGAAGUGGAGCAGCCAGGACCAGAACCGGCACCCAUAUGGGAUGCUGGCGCUUCAGGCCAGGGCUUUAACCCGUUGCGCCACAGCGCCGGCCCCAAGAAGUUAUUAACUUUUCACAUUGAAGGGGAGUAUGUUGGAUACUGUUUUAUUUUUACUCUUUGUUUACUUUUUAAAAAAUAUUUGCUUAUUUAAAAGAGUAACAGAGAGAAAGGAGGAGAACAGAGAUCUGCCAUCCGCUGGUUCACUCCCCAGAUGGCCACCUCUGCCAGCACUGGACCAGGCGGAAGCCAGGAGCUUCUUCCAGGUCUCCCACGUGGGUGCAGGGGCCCAAGGACUUGGGCCAUCUUCUACUGCUUUCCCAGGCACAGCAGAGAGCUGGAUUGGAAGUGGAGCAGCCGGGACGGGAACUGUUGCCCAUAUGGGAUGCCGGCACUGCAGGCAGCAGCUUCACCCACUAGGCCACACACGAGUCUCCUUUAUUUGCCUUCAAGAGCUGUGAUGUGUUACUCCAGAUUGGUGGUUAGUGGUCCUUCUAUCAACAGGAUGCAUUUGUGAAUGAAUUUUUCCUCUUUAGAGCAGAACAGUCUGCUCUCCUUGGGGACCACUAAGUUAAUUUUGGUGUUGGAUACCUUGAGAAUUCAUGGUGGCAGAAAAGCCUCUCGGGAAAGGUACGCCAGGCCCCAGGUGGGAGGAGUAGGUAGAUGCCAGGCCCCAGGUGGGAGGAGUAGGUAGAUGCCAGGCCCCAGCAGAGGCCGCUCAGCAGAGGCACGGUGCGGGCUGCUCCUAGCACCGCUGGAAAGUGGAGUUCUCAGAGUCCAUCACAGAUCAAGAUGCUGGUGGUCUGGAAGUUGGGUACGUAGAUCUGCGAAGUUGAUUGAAUCGUGAUGUGUCUUGUACUUUUCUCAACGUUGUUAGAGUUGAUGCUAAGCAGUGUCAUGUGAAGGCUGAAGUGUUGCACGUCAUCUCUAUUAGUGCAGGUAUCUUUUUUGUUGUUUAAUAUUUAUUUAUUUGAGAGGCAGAGUUACAGAGAGGGGAAGAGGCAGAGGACUUCCAUCUGCUGGUUCCCUCCCCAGAUGGCCACAGCAGCUGGAGCUGGGCUGGUCGGGCGCCAGGAGCUUCUUCCAGGUAUUCUGUGUGGGUGCAGGGGCCCAAGCACUUGGAUCAUUCUCCACUGCCUUCCCAGCCUCCCACAUCAGCAGGGAGCUGGAUCCGGAAGAGGAGCAGCUGGGACAUAACCAGCGCCCAGUGCGAAGCCAGUGCCGCAGGUGGAGGCUUAACUGCUACAGCACAGUGCGGGCCCCUAGAAUGUGUGCUUUACUGAAGGUUUUAAGUGCCGUGAAUCUUCACUGGGGGAAGAAUGAGAGCAUCUGAUUUGUCUCCUAGCCCCAUCUGUAGGAGAUGGCCUGAAGCAACCCAUUGCUGUGAUGGGCUUGCUUGCUUUUCUUUUCUUUUCUUUUUUUUUUUUUUUUUGUUGUUGUUGUUGUUGACAGAGUUAUAGACCGUGAGCGAGAGAGAGACAGCGAGAAAGGUCUUCCUUCCAUUGGUUCACCCCCCAAAUGGCCACCACGGCCAGCACUGCGCCGAUCCGAAGCCAGGAGCCAGGUGCUUCCUCCUGGUCUCCCAUGUGGAUUCAGGGCCCAAGGCCCUGGGCCAUCCUCCACUACCUUCCCGGGCCACAGCAGAGAGCUGGACUGGAAGAGGAGCAACCGGGACUAGAACCCAGUGCCCAUAUGGGAUGCCGGUGCCGCAGGCGGAGGAUUAACCAAGUGAGCCACAGCACCAGCCCCCGUGAUGGGGUUUCUUACUCUUGGCUUCAGAUAACCUUAUCUGACUCCUACCAGAGAGGCCGGCGUGCAAAGCAUUGCCAGGCAAGGACAGGCUCAGAUUCAUUUUGUAUCCAGUCGUCUUCAGUUGGCCCUCCUUCCACUGCAGAGACAAAUCUCAGGUUGAAUGAAGAUACUGAGGAGGACAGCACCAUGGCUCACUAGGCUAAUCCUCCGCCUAGCGGCGCCGGCACACCAGGUUCUAGUCCCGGUCGGGGUGCCGGAUUCUGUCCCGGUUGCCCCUCUUCCAGGCCAGCUCUCUGCUGUGACCCAGGAAGGCAGUGGAGGAUGGCCCAGGUGCUUGGGCCCUGCACCCCAUGGGAGACCAGGAGAAGCACCUGGGUCUUGGCUUCGGAUCAGCGCGAUGCGCCGGCCGCAGCGCGCCAGCCAUGGCGGCCAUUGGAGGGUGAACCAACGGCAAAAAGGAAGACCUUUCUCUCUGUCUCUCUCUCUCACUGUCCACUCUGCCUGUCAAAAAAAAAAAAAAAAAGAUACUGAGGAUUCCGCGUCUUCUGUGCUGGCUGGUCUUGGCAGGGCAGCAGCCCAGCCCUCCGUGGAGGACGAGAGAGUGUUGGCUUCAGUAGUGGCGCUUGAGAGGAAAAGGAGACGUGUCUGAAUUGGGUUUGACUUGAGUGUGUUAACUGAUCAUUACACGUGAGUAAUUCUGGGGGUUUGUGUGAAGCGUUCUGUUCCCAGGGCUCUACCCGGAGUCUUCAGGUGUUGCUGGCUGCUUUCUGCAUUACUGCUGUAGUACAGAAUAAUUUCAAAGUAGUCCUGGUUUUGCGUUUCAGAUGCAGUGAUUAAACAUUGACUGCUGGUGUAACUCUGCUAGCAGGUUAAAAUGUAACAAGGGUGCAGAAAUUUAGCCAGAUCAUAGCAAAACCUGGUUGUCUUUGUGGCUUUCACCAUGGGUAGUCCAUUUUGGGAAGGGAGUCCUGGACAGCUUUGGAGAAUUUUAAGUGGAAAAAUCAGUAACUUCUGUAACUUUUUUCGGUUAAAAUAAUACAGUCCCAGAAUUUGCUUGGUGUGUGCAAGGCCCUUUGCGGAAGAUUCAGAGGGGACACUGGGUAGACUGCUGAGGGUCGCGUUCGGAAGCACAAGUUAGCAUGAGUGUGCUGAUUGCCACAUGUGCCAUAUUGUGUUGGGUGCUGUUGGAAUAGCCACAUCCCUCCCUCACCUGCAACUCUGCCUGACAACCUGGAUCUAGCUUUUUUGUGGAAUAAUACUGUCUAUGGUUUUUUUUUUCUUAAAGAUUUGUUUAUUUUAUUUGAAAGGCAGAGUUACAGAGAGGCAAAGAGAGACAGAGAUCUUCCAUCCGCUGGUUCACUCCCCAGAUGGCCGCAAGAGCUGAAGCUGCCCCGAUCCAAAGCCAGGAGCUUCUUCCAGGUCUCCCAUGCCGGGUGCAGGGGCCCAAGGACUUGGGCCAUCGUCUGCUGCUUUCCCAGGCCAUAGCAGAGAGCUGGAUCGGGAGUGGAGCAGCCAGGACACAAACCGGCGCCUAAAUGGGAUGCCGGCACUGCAGGCAGCAGCUUUACCUGCUACACCACAGUGCCGGCCCCCUGUCUAUAUUUUAAAAGAACAUACUGAGGCAGGCAUUUGGCUUAAUGGUAAAGACCCUCACAUCCCAUAUCAGAGUACCUGGGUUUGAGCUGCAGCUCCUGACUACAGCUCAGAGAAUUGAGUUUCUGCCAUCCAUCCACAUGGGAGACCUGGACAGAGUUGCCAGCUCCUGGCUUUGCAGGCAUUUGGGGAGUGAGCCAGCAGGUGGGCGAGUGCUCAUUUUGUCUCACUCUCUCUCUCUCUGCCUUGCAGAUAAACUAAAGAACAUAUUCAUGCUUACUUUGUAACUCUGACCUUUAGUGUAUUUUCUCUUGAGAAAAAUGAAGGAAUGUAUGUGUGUGUGUGUAUAUAUAUAUAUGUAUAUGCAAGUAGUAUCGUUUGAGCACUUACACAGUAAAACACCAGCUAUGUUACUGUGAUGGAUGACCUCUAAUUUACAUGGGUGGAGUGGAAAGACGUAUCAAGAAGAUCGCUGCUCUGUCUUACAGAGAAGGGAGCUUCCAUUUGAUCCAGAAAUUGAUGUGCAUCAUCGCCAGCUGUAUUUUCUUUCUUAGUUGGGUUUUGAGAGCAAUAUUGUACCACAGUCCUUUGAGGAGGGAGAGUUGCCAAUUUAAACCAAUAAGCUAAUGGCUCUCUGUAGGUACAACUACCGAGCCUACUUUGCUCGCUUCAUUAUUGUGAGGAAGAGAAUCUUUGAAAUCGCAUCUUUUUUUUUAAACACCGAACGUUUAUUAUCUGGGAGUGGCUCAUCCAGAGGGUUCUGGGCUCUCCUUUAAGGUGAGCUGUCAGCUGGUACUGCAGUCAGUUUCAAGGCCUGCUUUCCAGUUCCCUAGCGUGGUCCUCGGUAGACCUCAGUCACUUGCAGGCUGGCGGCCCGAGAUCCCAGCUCCGCUCUGACUGUGGUCUGGGGGCCUCUGCGGGUGCAUCAGUUUUAAGGACUUUUUUAAAGUCUCUACUGGUGUCCUUUCUGUUUUAAGUGACAUCUUUGUUAUAUAUUUUUAAUUUCUUAUUGAAAUCUCAUUUGCCUACAGGUAGGGACAAAAAUCCCCAGUGUUCAGCUUGAUGGAUUUUUUACAAGGUAAACACUGCUUUGUAACCAGCACCCAAAUCAAUAGAUGUUAUCAGUGCCCAGGAGUCCUCUUGGUGCUCUCCCCCACCACCCCAGCCUGCCACGAGUAACUGCCUAUACCUCAUACUACCCUGUCGUUUGAUUUUUUUUUUUUUUUUUUGACAGGCAGAGUGGACAGUGAGAGAGAGAGACAGAGAGAAAGGUCUUCCUUUCGCCGUUGGUUCACCCUCCAAUGGCCGCCGUGGCCGGCGCACCGUGCUGAUCCGAUGGCAGGAGCCAGGUGCUUUUCCUGGUCUCCCAUGGGGUUCAGGGCCCAAGCACUUGGGCCAUCCUCCACUGCACUCCCUGGCCACAGCAGAGAGCUGGCCUGGAAGAGGGGCAACCGGAACAGAAUCUGGCGCCCCGACCGGGACUAGAACCCGGUGUGCCGGCGCCGCAAGGCGGAGGAUUAGCCUAGUGAGCUGCGGCGCCGGCCCUGUUGUUUGAUUUUUAAACACGCUUUCAGAAUUCGAGAGUAAGCUUCAGGCUAGGUGCAGAAGUAGUAGUUAGUAAGCUUUGAGACAUCUUUGUUUUUUCAUGAAGAAUCUGGUGGAAGUUGCCGAUGCCCUGGCGGGGGCUGGGACACAAAUACCGCUGCACCAGAUUUUGCCUACAGCCGAAGAAUGUUCAUGAGCCUUGACUUCAGGGUUGUCCCUUUUUGAUGAAAAUGUUGAUGUUUUAUUAAGAAGCUGAUUUACAGAUAUUUCUCUUUUGACAUAUUUGAAGGGUCAGUGUCACAUAGUAUGUGUUCCAGGGCAGUUACAUGCAAGAUGAAUUGUUUAAAUUUUAAUUUAAUUCAAUGUAAUUUGAAGAGAGAGAGAGCUUUCCCAUCUCUUGCUGAGCCUCCCGUGUGGGUGGCAGAUCUGACCAUCAGAGCCAGCACCUGCUGCCACUUGGGGUUUUUACCUGCAGAAAGGUGGAAUCAGAUGUGGAGCCAGGACCCAGAUCCAGGCUCUGAUAAUGGGACUUAAGCAUCCCAAGUUGCCACUUUUUUUCUUUUUUUUUUUAAGAUUUAUUUAUUGGGGCCAGCGCUGUGCUGCAGCAGGUGAAGCCGCCACCUGCGGUGCUGGCACCCCAAGUGGGCACCGGUUCGGGUCCCACUUCCAGUCCAGCUCUCUGCUAUGGCCUGGGAAAGUAGUAGAAGAUGACCCAAGUCCUUGGGCCCCUGCACCUGUGUGGGAGACCUGGAAGAAGCUCCUGGCUCCUGGCUUCGGAUGAGUGAGCUCUGGCUGUUGUGGCCAAUUGGGAAAUGAACCAGCAGAUGGAAGACCUCCCUCCCUCCCUCCCUCUCUCCCUCUCUCUCUCUCUCUCUCUCUCUCUCUGCCUCUCUCUGCCUCUCUGUGACUCUGCCUUUUUUUUUUUUUUUUUUUUUUUUUUUUUUGCCAGGCAGAGUUAGAGUUAUAGACAGUGAGAGAGAGACAGAGAGAAAGGUCUACCUUCCAUUGGUUCAUUCCCCUAAUGGCUGCUACAGCCAGUGCUGCACCGAUCCGAAGCCAGGAGCUGGGUACUUCUUCCGGGUCUCCCAUGCGGGUGCAGGGACCCAAGCACUUGGGCUGCCCUCCCGGGCAACAGCAGAGCGCUGGACUGGAAGAGGAGUAACUGGAACUAGUACCCGGCUCCCCAGCCGGGACCAGAACCCAGGGUGCUGAUGCCGCAGGCGGAGGAUUACCCUAGUGAGCCAUGGCGCCGGCCAUGACUCUGUCUUGCAAAUAAAUAAAUAAAUCUUAAAAAAAAAAAAAGAACAUUUUAAAAAUAUUUAUUUAUUUGAAAGGCAGAGUCAGAGAGAAAGAGAGACGGAGAGAGGUCUUCUGUCUGCUGGUUCACUUCCCAAACGGCCACGACAGCUGGACCUGGGCCACUGUGACACCACACCAGGAGUUUUUUUUGUUUGUUUUUUGUUUUUGUUUGUUUGUUUGUUUUUUGAAGAUUUAUUUUAUUUACUUGACAGGCAGAGUUACAGAGAGAGGUAGAGACAGAGAGGUCUUCCAUCUGCUAGUUCACUCCCCAGAUGGCCACAACGGCCAGAGCUGCACUGAUCCGAAGCCAGGAGCAAGGAGCUUCUUCUGGGUCUCCCACGUGGGUGCAGGGGCCAUCUUCCUAUCCCAGGCUAUCCCAGGCCAUAGCAGAGAACUGGAUUGGAAGAGGAGCAGCCAGGAAUAGAACCGGUGCCCAUAUGGGAUGCCGGCGCUUCAGGCCAGGGCAUUAACCCACUGCGCCACAGCUGCUGGCUCCCCAGGAGCUUCUUAUGGGUCUCCCACAUAGGUACAGGGGCCCAGGAACAUGGGCCAUCCUCCACUGCUUUCCUAGGUGCAUUAGAAGGGAGCUGGAUUGGAAAUGGAGCAGCCAGGACGAACCAGCGCCCAUAUGGGAUGCCAGCAUAGCAAGCAGUGGCUUUACCCGCUAUGCCACAGCACUAGCACGCUCCCCGCCCUGCCCCCCAUUCCAGGUGCCAUCUUAACCUCUACACCAAACGCCUGUCUCAGCAAACUGAAGUUUCAAAUACUGAACUAUAUUCUUCAUGAUGUUUAAUAGUGGCCAUUAAGCAUCUACUAAUGAUCUGUUACUGCUGUGCAGACACAUGGAAAGAAGUAGAAGACAUGGUCUCCUGCUUCCAGGGGCUUUGCCUUUGAACUGGGAAGAUAAAAGUAGCUCGGAUUAUUGCGUCGGGAGUUUGUGGUGAGACCGUGAUUUUGUCUUCGUGUUUGAGUGAACCUGUUACCUUCGCCUCCAUUGCAGUCCGCCUGAGGAACACAGUUACUCCUCACCUUGAUUCUGACUCACUAACAGGGAGUUCUCAGUGCAGUGAGGCUGGAACGUGGCCGCAGGGGCAUAGCAAAAUCUUGGGGAGAGAUAGGAGUUACAAAAAUACAGUCCUGAGCAUUUCCGUUUGCCCUUCACAGCUUCAUGUGUGUUUGUGUGUGUACACACAUGUGAGCAUGCACACAUCUGCCAUAAUAGAGAAAGGAUGUGUUUGAGGAAAGAAUGACAGUGUCACACUAGCAUUAAUCGGAUUUUUAGCUGCUUGCUACUUUAUACGAUCUCAUUUGAUGCCCACAGCAACUCCAUCGUAAGGUGGACAUUGUAGAAAUAAUUAAAAUGGGAGUUUUUCUUUUUUAAAUUUUUUGCUUACUUGAGAUACCAGCAGAAACAAAUGGCCACAGUGGCCGGGGCUGGGCUGGACCAAAGCCAGGAGCCAGAAAUGCAUUUCAGGUUUCCCUUGAGUGACAGGAACCUGAUUGAGCCAUCACCACCGUCUCUCAGGCACUGCAUUAGCAGGAAGCUGGAACUGGGGCAAGAGCUGGAUUUGAACCCAGGCACUCCAAUAUGGGGCAUGGAUGAACCACUCACUAGGCAAAGCACCCAUUCUGGAGUUUUUCUUGAAAUUGAUUGACUAAAAGACCAAGAGUCCUUGGAACAUUUGGAUGAUGAUCGUGGUGGUGGUAGUUAUUGUAAAAUUUAAUGUAGUUAAGGUUGAUGGAGUUAGUUGGGGAGUGGGGAAAGAGAAUGCUGACGUCUGACCCUUUAGGAAAAAGGGUGCUGACUUCUGGUAUCUUCUUUGGUGAUGUGCUCUCAAAUCUGUCGUCUUGACUUUUGGGUGGAAGCGGGGCUAACUCAGUAUGUUCCUUUCCUUUUCUUUUUUUAUUCAAUCUAUUUGAAAGGCAGAGUCACGAAGAGGCAGAGAGCGAGCGAGGUCUUCCAUCCUCUGGUUCACUCCCCUAAUGGCCACAGCUGCCAGAGCCGGGCCGAUCUGAAGCCAGGAGCUUCUUUCCGGUCUCCCACAUGGGUGCAGGGGCCCAAAUACUUGGGCUGUCUUCCAGUGCUUUCCCAGGCCAUAGCAGAGAGCUGGGUCAGAAGUGGAGCCGCUGGGUCUCGAACCAGCCCCCAUAUGGGAUGCUGGUGCUGCAGGCUGUGGCUUAACCUACUACACCACAGUGCCGGACCUCAGUAUGUUUCUAACCCAAGGCCAGCGUGGCAGGAACCAGAUCGGAAUUGGAAAUAACUUGAUGGAUUUUAUUGACCUGGCAGGUUCCUAUUGUACUGUCCAAGGUGGUAAGCAGUAGCCACAUGUCACUGUUUACAUUUAAAUUGAGAAUUAAGCUUUUCAAUCUCACCAUAUUUCGCAGAGCACCUGUGUCUGGUGGCUACCGUGUAUCGCACAGUGCCGAUAUAAAAUAUUUCUAUUAUCACAUAAAUUCCUGUUGUACAGUGCUAACUCUAGAAUCGGAAGAACUUCUGAGUGAACCAGAGAGAUGAGAAGCAGACAUGAACAUGGGCCACAGCAUUGCUUUCCUGCAUGCCAAUAAAACUCAGCCGGGUCUGCAUCCUCCCAGUGUGUGUAAAUACUUGAUUUAAUACUACUUCUUGUUCACAGAACAUAGUCCAUGUUCUGUUCUGUUCUUUUCCUAAGUGACGAGAGGAAACAGUUAACUCAUGAAAGAAAAUCAGAAUUUUACAGAUAGUGUUUUAGGGAUUUAAAUAAUUAAAAAAAAAGCUUGAGUAUAUCCUUUCCCAAAGCAGUUUGCAAAAAUAAGCCUUCUAAAAUUCUGCUGUGUUUGUAACCAGCUUGUGAAUGAGAGAAUAUUGAGCGUGCAGUCUGAUGGACUAGCAAUCCUGGCUCCUUCAGCUUCCAGCUUUAGGGUGCCACUGACUUUACAGUUCUUCAUAAUGAUAACUUCAGUUUUGAAAAUACCCCAAAAUAUCCUGCGUUAAAGUGGUUAAGUUGGUCUCUUUUAAGAUGGAAUUUAAAAGCAUUUCUUUACCAGAGACUGCUUCAUAUGAUCCUCCUGUUAGGGACAGACCUAACUAAUGAUUCUGAAUAGUGAAGUGGAGGUCAGUAAACACAUUACUGAACAGUCCUUCUCUUCUUUGGCAAGCAUACUGUGUAAUUAUUAGGGAUUAUUUUGUUAACAUAGAGGUGUUCUCAGAGCAGUUUGUAAGUUUUUGGUGAUUCAACACUUGUUUGAGUGUCUUCCUGCUCUGUCACAGAUCAGGUUUGCUGAAGGUAGGCAUCUGAGUGCAUCGGCUAACACUGCGAGAGUGACGUAGCGGUUCUCGUAAUGUUCUUGUGUUAAGUAUAAGGAAAUAUGUAACAAAUGAGUAUUUUAGAGGUUUUCAGAAAGGUAAGUUUUAAAACAGCUUCUGUCAUUUCUGAUUUCAAGCAUAUCUUGUCACGUCUUAAACCCACCUGAUGUCUCUGAUAUGUACCCUAAGUGUGUCAUCUGUUUGCUAUUUUGAAAAAUAAUAUUGUUUAGAAUAGUACUUGGGGGCCAGCGUAGCAUUGUGGCGCAGUGGGUUAGGAUGCCUCCUGCAGCACCACUGUCCCCUAUGACUGCUCGUUUGCGUCCCAGCCUUUCCACCUUGCAGUCCAGCUCCCUGCUAAUGGCACUAGGAAAGCAGUGGAAGGUGGCUCAGCAUUGAGUGCCUGUCACACACGUGGAAGACCUGGGUGGAGUUUCUGGCUCCUGGUUUUGGCCUGGCCCAGCCACAGUGGGCACAGCCAUUUGGAGAGAGAAAAGCAAAUGGAAGAUACCUUUCUAUCGCCAUCUCCCUCCCUCUUUAACUCUGCCUUCAAAUAAAUAAAUAAAUAAAUAAGUUUUUAUUUAAAAGUGGGAACAGUGCUUGUGUUAUCAUCUUGGUGAUAUGGUGAAAUAGAAGCAAUGAUCAGUACACACUCCUUUCACCGGUUUCUGUUUGUUUACUGUUUAUUUGAGGGCCAGGGAGCUCCCAUUAUCUAGUUAACUCCCCAGCUGCCUGCAGUGCCUAGGGCUGACCUGGGGCCAAGCCGGGGCCAGAGCUGGGAGCCAGUAACUUAGUCCUGGUCUUCCAUGGCUGCCUUCAUUAGCAGGAAGCUACAGUUAGCUUCAAUUAGAAACAGAGCCAGAUUUAACCCAGAUACCCCCACGUAGGGCACAAGCAUUUUGACCACUAAGAUAAACACCCUCCCUCAGCUGGUAUUUUAAUGGUGUACUUUCUGAGCUGUCUGUAUACCAGAUUGCUGGACAGUGGCAACGUGAAUAUGAUGAAGACGCAGUGUCGAUGAGGAUGUUAAUGGCUGGGAGUGUAUGUCAGUAAUGUAUAGAAUGGCAUCGGUGAAUGACAGGACCGCCAGGCCUCCCUUGAAGAGUCUGGAAAGGCUUCCUAAGUUGGUGGGUGAUUAAGCCAGGUCCAAGAACACCUGCCAUUCUUCAGGUCAAUAAGCGUGCACCAGGCAAAGAGUGUGCCAUAGGAAAAUGGAAACCAGGGUCGCUUCUGUAUAGGGACUAAAGAGAGGCAAGGUGAGAAAUGAGACGGAGGGUGGGAAGGGAGCAGAAGACGAGGAGCCCGUUGUUGUAAGCGGUGGGAUGGUGUAGAAAACAGACAAGGAGAUGACGCAGUAGUUUGCCUGAGAAAUAACUGAGGCCAGUGUGGCACUCUGAGCACCCGUUUGAGUCCCGGCUGCUCCACCUCUGCUGCAGCCCCCUGCUAGUGCACCUCGGGAAGCAGUGGAAGAUGGCCCAAGGGCUUGGGUCCCUGCACCCACAUGGGAGACCCAGAUGAGUUUCAGCCUCUUCGGUUCAGUCUGGCCAGUUCUGGCUGUUGGAGCCAUUUGAGGGGUGAACCAGCGGAUACAAGCUGGCUCUGAGUGUGGGUGUCUCUGUCUCUGCAACUCUGCCUUUCAAAUAAGUAAAUAAAUACUUAAAAAACAAAACAAAAUCCUGAGGCCUGAACUGAAGUAAUAGCUGCAGAGAUGGACGCUAGGAGGUUGAUAUUACCCGGGUUAUCCCACAGGGCUUGGCUACAGCUGCAUGUGUGGAGGGAGGGGCAGGCUUCCACAUUCUGGACAGCUGAGUGAACAAGAUGUUGAGGAAGAGGGUAGGGUCAGGCUUGUAUACGUGGAGUGUAAGCUGCUUAUAUACUUUUUUUUAAAAAAAGAUUUUAUUUAUUUAUUUGAAAGGCAGAGUUACAGAGAGAGGCAGAGAGAAGUCUUCCAUCCGCUGGUUCACUCCCUUAAUGGCCACAACAGCCAGAGCUGUGCCAGUCCGAAGCCAGGAGCCAGGAGCUUCUUCUGGGUCUCCCACAUGGAUGCAGGGGCCCAAGAACUUGAGCCAUCUUCUAGCUUUCCUAGGCCAUAGCAGAGAGCUGGAUCAGAAGUGGGGCAGCCAGGACUAGAACUGGCACCCAUAUGGGAUGCUGGCACUGCAGGUGGCGGGCUUACCCGCUACGCCACAGUGCUGGCCCUGCUCAUAUACAUUUGAGUAGAGUUGUCCAGUAGGCAGUUGUUUAUCUGUUAUCAAGUUGGGUUAGAACCUGUGUUUUCAUAGUGAAAACUCAUCUCAGUAGUCUUCACAUGACGUAAAUGGUAAAAUGUUGGCUGCUUGCAGUAUGUACCUCUUAUUUCUUACUAACUUAUGGGUAGUGCAAGACGUGAGUGCAGCCCUGAUGCUCUGUUGCAGUUUGUUUGCCUGAGCAGCCUCAGAUUCUGUUACUGUGGUUCAGAGUAAGAUGCUCUGGACACAGCAUCGGUAUUGGCCUGUGUUUAAUAUACUGGUAGGCAUUCAGUGCAAAAGAGAAGAGGUCAUAUUCUCAGCAACUGGGAGCAGCCGUGCAGUGUUACCACAGUGAACACUGUUUCCUGAGGUAACUGAAACAGGUUCUGCUUUAUCUGUCCUUGUUCUUUUUUGUCUCUCAAUCCCAUUUUUAACUUUCGAGAAACCAGAUUUGUUUUUCUUUAUCCUCCAUCAACUGUUGUUUCAGGGACAUCCAGAAAAAAACUCCUACAGAAGAUUCUUCUGACUCCUCUGUUCUGCAGUUUGCCUGGUUUUCCUUAUUUGCUGGCUUGGUCAGUCCCUGGAAAGCAUUUUUUACAGAUCAUAUAGUAGUACACACUUGAACAGCACACUGAUGCUUUAUAGAACUGUUAAGGGACAGUUUUAGGAUUCCAGAGGAGGAGAGUGUAUGGCGCAUGCAUGCCAAAACCUCUUAAGAAAUGUGUACUCAGUACUCUUUGUUACUUUUUUUGUCAGAGGCUAAAGAUGGAACUUUGAAUUCUUUGCUUCUCUGAAUCAAAGUUCAGGGUUCUAAGAUUAAGUAUUUGUGAUUGCUUUCAUCUUUUUUCCCUUUAAUGUUCUGAUUUGAAUUUCUUCUUUCUUGUGAGUCUUCUGAAGGAGUACAUGUAGUGUUUGGGGUUUUCUCAUGGGAAAAAGAUAAGGAAAGCUUAGAAGAUUUCUUCAGAAUUUUUAUGCCAGUAAAUAGUUGCUGUCCUCUCCCUUUCUGCCUGUGUCUCUUUUAUUAUUUUUUCCCCAAGUUGUAUUUAUUACUUGAAAAGCAGAGAGACAGAGAUCUGUUAUCCACUGGUUCAUUCCCCAAGUGCCCACAAGAGCCAAGAGCUGGGAACACCAUGCAGGUCUCCCUUGGGGCAGGGACCCAACUACACGGCCAUUACCUACUGCCUCGCGUGCUGCCCAUUAGCAGGAAGCUGGAACAGGAGUGGAGCUGGGACUUGAACUCCGGCGAAGGCCCAAGUGUUAUCUCAACCACUUUGCUGAAUUCCUGAGUCCAUUCUUCCUUUUUGUUAGGAAGACCAGAGGAGAUGCUCAGCCUUAAUGUGCUAGCAGCUAUUCUCAGAAACUAAAAGCUGUCCAUUGUAUCUGUGAGAUACCGGUAUAAAGAAAACAUACAAAAUGGGUGCAUUCAAGGGAAGUUGGGGGUCCUGUGUUUAAUAUUCACAUUGACCUCUGUGAGAGGAUCUAGAUUGUGUUUCUUUGCAUAAGGCAAGAAAGUAUUAAUUGGCCAGUGGUACACGGUGUAGCGUACUGCCAGGAUUGUAGGUGUGUGUCCUCUGAGGUUUUAGGGAACACUUGACAUCUUUCUCCUCGUUUUGCUGGCUUUUACAACGUUAUUGUUGUCGCUGUGGUUUAAUAGAUGAUGUGUUACAGUUUGGAAUUCCUCUAAUUUAGGUUUCAAAGCUGUGUAAAUCAUUAGUUCCCGGUUACAUAUACAAGUUUGUUUAACACUUAAGUGUUGCUCUGACCCUUGCUUUUAAACAGAGACAGCAAACAGUAGCUUCAUGUUUAUUUCUUUUUUAAUGGGGUAUAUUAAGAAAGCAUUUCUAAGCCAGUUAACAUUUCUGUACCAGAUCUACAGUUUUUUUUACCCACAGCUAAAUAUUUAGAAUGUUUUAUUUAUGGAUACAGUAAUUUACUACAUGCCUAUGAUAACCAAAAUAAUAUUGUUAUCAGAUUAAUGAAGCAGGAUUAGUGUGAUAGUUUUUAAGCUAGAUGAGAAACUUUAUUUGUGGACAGUAGCUAGCUGUAUACAGCCUUUUUUUUUUUUUUUUU
Non-coding RNA from Oryctolagus cuniculus (rabbit), 14459 nucleotides. NCBI's taxonomy places the organism in Eukaryota, Metazoa, Chordata, Mammalia, Lagomorpha, Leporidae. The record is from RefSeq and is a predicted model, not a curated record.